AUACGGAGGGUCCAAGCGUUAUCCGGAAUCAUUGGGUUUAAAGGGUUCGCAGGCGGUCAAUUAAGUCAGAGGUGAAAGCCCAUCGCUCAACGAUGGAACUGCCUUUGAUACUGGUUGACUUGAGUUAUACGGAAGUAGAUAGAAUAAGUAGUGUAGCGGUGAAAUGCAUAGAUAUUACUUAGAAUACCGAUUGCGAAGGCAGUCUACUACGUAUAUACUGACGCUGAGGGACGAAAGCGAGGGGAGCGAACAGGAUUAGAUACCCCUGUAGUCC
Molecule: ribosomal RNA, 274 nt
Filed under: uncultured bacterium
Lineage: Bacteria
Description: partial 16S ribosomal RNA
Rfam family: Bacterial small subunit ribosomal RNA
Source: RNAcentral